RNAcentral lists this ribosomal RNA (301 nucleotides) under uncultured bacterium. RNAcentral describes it as "partial 16S ribosomal RNA". It matches the Rfam family "Bacterial small subunit ribosomal RNA", at positions 509 to 807 of the family's 1533-position model. The record is from RNAcentral.
CAGCAGCCGCGGGAAUACGUAGGGUGCGAGCGUUAAUCGGAAUUACUGGGCGUAAAGCGUGCGCAGGCGGUUUUGUAAGACAGGCGUGAAAUCCCCGGGCUCAACCUGGGAAUGGUGCUUGUGACUGCAAAGCUAGAGUGCGGCAGAGGGGGAUGGAAUUCCGCGUGUAGCAGUGAAAUGCGUAGAUAUGCGGAGGAACACCGAUGGCGAAGGCAAUCCCCUGGGCCUGCACUGACGCUCAUGCACGAAAGCGUGGGGAGCAAACAGGAUUAGAUACCCGCGUAGUCCCUGUCUCUUAUAC